CCUGUCGACACAGGCUGGAAUGUGACCGGCUCCGCCGGUUGAACCACGAA
Regulatory RNA element from Natronomonas pharaonis DSM 2160, 50 nucleotides. It matches the Rfam family "eL15-Euryarchaeota ribosomal protein leader". NCBI's taxonomy places the organism in Archaea, Methanobacteriati, Methanobacteriota, Halobacteria, Halobacteriales, Natronomonadaceae. The record is from Rfam.